GAUGAAGGACGUAGCGAAAUGCGAUACGUAAUGUGAAUUGCAGAAUUCAGUGAAUCAUCGAGUCUUUGAACGCACAUUGCGCCCCCUGGUAUUCCGGGGGGCAUGCCUGUCCGAGCGUCAUUGCUGCCCUCAAGCACGGCUUGUGUGUUGGGCCUCCGUCCUCCUCCCGGGGGACGGGCCCGAAAGGCAGCGGCGGCACCGCGUCCGGUCCUCGAGCGUAUGGGGCUUCGUCACCCGCUCUUGUAGGCCCGGCCGGCGCUUGCCGACACAUCAAUCUUUUUUCCAGGUUGACCUCGGAUCAGGUAGGGAUACCCGCCGAACUUAAGCAUAUCAAUAAGCGGAGGA
This 345-nucleotide unclassified non-coding RNA is filed under the name soil metagenome. RNAcentral describes it as "partial contains 5.8S ribosomal RNA, internal transcribed spacer 2, and large subunit ribosomal RNA". The stretch from base 1 to 120 matches the Rfam family "5.8S ribosomal RNA", at positions 35 to 154 of the family's 154-position model. The record is from RNAcentral.